AGAACGAACGCUGGCGGCAUGCCUAACACAUGCAAGUCGAACGCUUCCGGGGCUUCGGUCGCGGAGGAGUGGCGCACGGGUGAGUAGCGCGUGGGAACCUGCCCUGUUGUGGGGGAUAACCGAGGGAAACUUCGGCUAAUACCGCAUACGCCCCGGGACUUGGUCUUCGGAUUAGGUCUGGGGGAAAGAUUGAUCGCAGCAGGAGGGGCCCGCGUCGGAUUAGCUGGUUGGUGGGGUAACGGCUCACCAAGGCGAUGAUCCGUAGCUGGUCUGAGAGGAUGAUCAGCCACACUGGGACUGAGACACGGCCCAGACUCCUACGGGAGGCAGCAGUGGGGAAUAUUGGACAAUGGGGGCAACCCUGAUCCAGCAAUGCCGCGUGAGUGAUGAAGGCCUUAGGGUUGUAAAGCUCUUUCGCCCGCGACGAUGAUGACGGUAGCGGGAGAGAAGCCCGGCUAACUUCGUGCCAGCAGCCGCGGU
This 480-nucleotide ribosomal RNA is filed under the name uncultured bacterium. RNAcentral's name for it is "SSU rRNA". It matches the Rfam family "Bacterial small subunit ribosomal RNA", at positions 26 to 521 of the family's 1533-position model. The record is from RNAcentral.